UGGGGAAUAUUGCACAAUGGGCGAAAGCCUGAUGCAGCAACGCCGCGUGAGGGACGACGGCCUUCGGGUUGUAAACCUCUUUAGCAAGGAAGAAGCGAAAGUGACGAUACUUGCAGAAAAAGCGCCGGCUAACUACGUGCCAGCAGCCGCGGUAAUACGUAGGGCGCAAGCGUUAUCCGGAAUUAUUGGGCGUAAAGAGCUCGUAGGCGGUUUGUCGCGUCUGCUGUGAAAACCCGAGGCUCAACCUCGGGCCUGCAGUGGGUACGGGCAGACUAGAGUGCGGUAGGGGAGAUUGGAACUCCUGGUGUAGCGGUGGAAUGCGCAGAUAUCAGGAAGAACACCGAUGGCGAAGGCAGAUCUCUGGGCCGUAACUGACGCUGAGGAGCGAAAGGGUGGGGAGCAAACAGGCUUAGAUACCCUGGUAGUCCACCCGUAAACGUUGGGAACUAGUUGUGGGGUCCAUUUCCACGGAUUCCGUGACGCAGCUAACGCAUUAAGUUCCCCGCCUGGGGAGUACGGCCGCAAGGCU
Molecule: ribosomal RNA, 529 nt
Filed under: uncultured bacterium
Lineage: Bacteria
Description: partial 16S ribosomal RNA
Rfam family: Bacterial small subunit ribosomal RNA
Source: RNAcentral